Long non-coding RNA from Thalassophryne amazonica, 91 nucleotides. RefSeq lists it as uncharacterized. Lineage: Eukaryota; Metazoa; Chordata; Actinopteri; Batrachoidiformes; Batrachoididae. The transcript has 3 exons. The record is from RefSeq and is a predicted model, not a curated record.
GGGACCAUUGUUUACAAAGCCCAUUGUUACCAAAUACAAGUACAAAGUAUUCACUGACCAUAGCACUAGUUCCAUUUAUGUUGUUGAAAAA